This 978-nucleotide ribosomal RNA is filed under the name Triticum aestivum (bread wheat). RNAcentral describes it as "partial small subunit ribosomal RNA". Lineage: Eukaryota; Viridiplantae; Streptophyta; Magnoliopsida; Poales; Poaceae. The record is from RNAcentral.
AUGCCCGCCGAGAAGGCCCCCCAAGCCGGCAGCGUCACACUCGGCGCCACCCACAACAAUGCCGCUGCCGCCGCCGGUGCCGCCGUGCCGGUGCAGCCGCAGCAGCACAGGAGGUUGGAGGGGAAGGUGGCCAUCGUCACUGGCGGGGCACGCGGGAUCGGGGAGGCGAUCGUGCGCGCGUUCGUCCUUCAAGGCGCGCGCGUGGUGAUCGCCGACAUCGACGACGCGGCAGGGGAGGCGCUGGCGGCUGCGCUGGGCGGCGCCUGCUGCAGCUACGUGCACUGCGACGUGUCGGUGGAGGCCGACGUGGAGCGCGCCGUCGGGUGCUGCGUGGCGCGGUACGGGCGGCUGGACGUCCUCUGCAACAACGCCGGCGUGCUGGGCCGGCAGGCGCCGCCCGCGGGCACGGGCGCCAAGAGCGGCGGCAUCGCGUCCCUGGACGCCGCCGAGUUCGACCGCGUGCUGCGCGUGAACACGCUGGGCGCGGCCCUCGGCAUGAAGCACGCGGCGCGGGCCAUGCUGCAGCGCCGCGGCGGCUGCGGCGGCGGGAGCAUCGUGUCGGUGGCGAGCGUGGCCGGCGUGCUGGGCGGGAUGGGCCCGCACGCGUACACGGCCUCGAAGCACGCGCUCGUGGGGCUGACCAAGAACGCGGCCUGCGAGCUCGGAGAGCACGGCAUCCGCGUGAACUGCGUCUCCCCCUUCGGGGUGGCCACGCCAAUGCUGGUGAACGCGUGGCGCCACGGCAACCAUGGCGAGGACGAGGAAGGGGGCGCGCCGGCGCCGGUUAGCGCGGAGGAGGUCGAGAAGGCGGAGGAGAUGGUGCGGGGCAUGGCGACGCUCAAGGGCCCGACGCUGAGAGCCGAUGACAUCGCGGAGGCGGCGCUGUUCCUGGCCAGCGACGAGUCGGGGUACAUUUCCGGGCACAACCUCGUCGUCGACGGCGGCGUCACCACCUCCAGGAACGUCAUCGGGCUGUGA